AUCCGGCUGACGAGUCCAAAUAAGGACGAAACGCACAUCCUGGAU
RNAcentral lists this non-coding RNA (45 nucleotides) under Schistosoma margrebowiei. Lineage: Eukaryota; Metazoa; Platyhelminthes; Trematoda; Strigeidida; Schistosomatidae. The record is from RNAcentral.